Columba livia (rock pigeon) is the source of this 2144-nucleotide long non-coding RNA. RefSeq lists it as uncharacterized. NCBI's taxonomy places the organism in Eukaryota, Metazoa, Chordata, Aves, Columbiformes, Columbidae. The transcript is spliced from 2 exons. The record is from RefSeq and is a predicted model, not a curated record.
UUCUUGCCUUACGGCAGUUUUUGUUCAGGGCUGUUUUUGGCCUUGUCUUAGGCUGUGCUGUCAGCUGUGCUUUCCAUCUAUCCAAUCUCAGGGACUAGCAGUUCUUCCCAACAUCUUUAAGUUUUAGUGAUUGCAGUAUCUUUUCGUGUUGGUGUUGCCGUCUCUGUUUGUGUCGUGGUGCCAUUUCUUAAGGGACCGUGGGGUUUGUUUCCUUUUUAUUCUGGGGUUGCAGUAGAGCCUCCUUGCCUUUCCACUGCCUCCCUGCAGGUUGUUUUGAUCGAUGUUGUGUCUGGUCGUGGAGUCGUUCUUGUUCUUGAACAUUUUUGGUGUUGUUUCAGUCAUGUGUUCAAUCUUGUUUUGUGGAGGCUUUUUGUGCAGAUGUGCAUGUUGGGUGGGAGCUGUUGUGCCCAGAGUUGUAGAGUCAGGGAUGAGUGGAUUGAGCUCUAGGUGUCCACCGUUAAUUUGUUGACCUAUUAAAUUGCGUGGGCUGUGUUUGUACCGUUGUCUGGCAUGGAGUUGCCAUUGGUAGGAGGGUGUACAUUCUCUGUAGUGGUGUUUUAUAGUUCAUACUCAAGACUGUUUUGAAUAAUGUUUUCUGUUGUGUGCUGUUUUUUCAGAGUAUUCUUAUAAUAUUUUUUUUUUUUAGGUGACCACGUUGUUAAUAUGACUGUAAAUUGUAUCUACAGCUGCAUAAAUCAAAUACCUGUCUGAGAUGGGACCUGAGACACCAAUGUGAUGUUUACCGAGUUCACUUUAUUGUUGGACUUUAGACAAAGCUGCCGUCUCCACGUGCCUUGCAACAAUGUGAUUGGUUGUAUCACAUGCUAUACAAUAAUGUGAUAGGCUGCAUGCACUGUCCUCGCGCUGUGCACACUUGUGUCCGGUGCUUGCUCAUUCAUUGUUACCUUCUUAUGGGGCUCCUUUUGUUUCUUUUGUCUCUGGCUUAACCUCUCCGCCAGGCUGGUGACAACCCCAUCUGCCCGGGAGGGGGGACUCUGCCUCGCUAUCUCUCCCUCGUUAAUAUUUCAUUAGAUAAAAAAAUACCCUGUGUUUCACACUGUCUUCAAAGUAUGAUACAGAUUAAGAACAUUAAGGCUAAUAUAAUUACAAUUAACAAGAACAGUUCCGUUUUCAAUAUUCCUUUUAACCAAAGAGGGUAUCCAACUCAGAAAAGUCAACAUCCUCUGUUAUUUUCAUGUUUUGAAAAUCUUCUAUCUUAUGAAGAUUGUGUUUGUAUGUGUUGUUUGAAAUUAAAAUAUGACUGUGACGAUGGCUAAUAACACAAAAUCAAUUGCUGCUCUCUUUUACAAAGUGGUGUGACAAUCUUGAAGCACUGGUUCCCAUGCUUAGCAGAACUAAGACCUUGUUAUGCGUUAAACGUCUGGUUUUUGUUACAUUGGGAGGAAGAGAUAGUUGCCAUCUCAUCUUAUCUUUCCCAAAGUUUUAUGGCCAUGAAGGCAGACACCUUGGAAGAUAAGGACUAUUAACAGUGUUGCCGUGAAAGGUUACAUGGCCUAAUUUGGAUGAUAGAGAUGAACCAUCUGUCGAACCGCCAGCUACCAGAAGAGAACACGAACAACAGCUACUCCUGAUGGGCAAGACAUUUCGCUUCUGGUCAUUAUGGUCAACUUUCUCCUAGUUUGAAGACCCCAUAACCAUUUCUAGAAGAGUCUUCCUAAUUAGCAGGAAGAGCGAGCAGAGGGAGGAGACCAACCGCCUUCUAAUAUCUUGUAUGUAAAUGAUGAGCCUUAUAAAACAACGUCACGUAUGAUACAGGUCAGCAGCAUAUAAAUAUGCAACGCGUCCCCCACUCUGGUGGUCGUCACAGGAUCGACAUACCUGUGGAGUGGUCAUAUCUUACUCUUAGUCUCUCUGUCUGCCUGUCUUUUUCUGAUAUCUUAGUUUUCAUUUUCUCUCUCUCUCUUCCUUUUCUUUACAAUGGUUUUUAUAUGUUUAAAUUCUGCUGCUAAAGUCUUGUUAAGUUUUGCAUUACAGUUACUAAUUGUUGCCAAUCCACUGCUUUUAGAAGGGUUUUUGCUGUCCAUGUAUUGAUAAGUUUUGUGGUAUUAUAACAUACUUUUGCCAAGUCACCGAUUGCUGUAAUUUGUAUACCACCACAUGCUUCUAGUAAAUUCAUAAUUGUA